Molecule: ribosomal RNA, 35 nt
Filed under: Quercus pyrenaica
Lineage: Eukaryota; Viridiplantae; Streptophyta; Magnoliopsida; Fagales; Fagaceae
Also listed under: 2 other names
Description: partial 25S ribosomal RNA
Source: RNAcentral
GUGACCCCAGGUCAGGUGGGACUACCCGCUGAGUU